UACGGAGGGUGCAAGCGUUGUCCGGAUUCAUUGGGUUUAAAGGGUGCGCAGGCGGGACAUUAAGUCAGGGGUGAAAGACGGUUGCUCAACAAUCGCAGUGCCUUUGAUACUGGUGUUCUUGGGUGACGGUGAGGUAGGCGGAAUGGGUGGUGUAGCGGUGAAAUGCAUAGAUACCACCCAGAACUCCGAUUGCGAAGGCAGCCUACUGGUCGUUAACCGACGCUCAGGCACGAAAGCGUGGGGAUCAAACAGGAUUAGAAACCCCGGUAGUCC
This 273-nucleotide ribosomal RNA is filed under the name uncultured bacterium. RNAcentral describes it as "partial 16S ribosomal RNA". It matches the Rfam family "Bacterial small subunit ribosomal RNA", at positions 524 to 796 of the family's 1533-position model. The record is from RNAcentral.